GACGAACGCUGGCGGCGUGCUUAACACAUGCAAGUCGAACGGAAAGGCCUGCUUUCCCUUGUGGAUUGCGGGUACUCGAGUGGCGAACGGGUGAGUAACACGUGAGUGAUCUGCCCCCAACUUGGGUAUAAGCCUGGGAAACUGGGUCUAAUUCCCGAUAGGACUGCAGGGUGGUGCCUGUGGUGGAAAACGAUUUUCUAGUGGUUGGGGAUGAGCUCGCGGCCUAUCAGCUUGUUGGUGGGGUAAUGGCCUACCAAGGCGGCGACGGGUAGCCGGCCUGAGAGGGUGGACGGCCACAUUGGGACUGAGAUACGGCCCAGACUCCUACGGGAGGCAGCAGUGGGGAAUAUUGCACAAGGGGCGGAAGCCUGAUGCAGCGACGCCGCGGGGGGGAUGACGGCCUUCAGGUUGUAAACUCCUUUCGACCGCGAGGAAGCCACCUGGUUGGAAGGGUGGUGACGGUAGUGGUAGAAGAAGCACCGGCUAACUACGUG
This 494-nucleotide ribosomal RNA is filed under the name uncultured bacterium. Its description in RNAcentral is "partial 16S ribosomal RNA". It matches the Rfam family "Bacterial small subunit ribosomal RNA", at positions 28 to 507 of the family's 1533-position model. The record is from RNAcentral.